Molecule: ribosomal RNA, 133 nt
Filed under: uncultured bacterium
Lineage: Bacteria
Description: partial 16S ribosomal RNA
Rfam family: Bacterial small subunit ribosomal RNA
Source: RNAcentral
GGCGCAAGCCUGACGAAGCAAUACCGCGUGAAGGAUGAAGGCCUGCGGGUUGUAAACUUCUUUUAUUAGAGAAGAUAAUGACGGUAUCUAAUGAAUAAGCAUCGGCUAACUAUGUGCCAGCAGCCGCGGUAAU